GCCGCUUGCGAGGGGGGGCUGGCAUGUUAAGUCGUCAUGUGACCUACUGUUUUGGACCGAUCGUUCGUAAUGAUGGAGUCAGAGGUUCGAAUCCUCUAAGCGGCA
RNAcentral lists this transfer RNA (105 nucleotides) under Allopontixanthobacter confluentis. Its description in RNAcentral is "tRNA-Thr". The record is from RNAcentral. Lineage: Bacteria; Pseudomonadati; Pseudomonadota; Alphaproteobacteria; Sphingomonadales; Erythrobacteraceae.